GACGAACGCUGGCGGCGUGCUUAACACAUGCAAGUCGAACGGAAAGGCCCUGCUUUUGUGGGGUGCUCGAGUGGCGAACGGGUGAGUAACACGUGAGUAACCUGCCCUUCACUUUGGGAUAACUUCAGGAAACUGGGGCUAAUACCGGCUAGGAGCUCCUGCUGCUUGGUGGGGGUUGGAAAGUUUCGGCGGUUGGUGAUGGACUCGCGGCUUAUCAGCUUGUUGGUGGGGUAGUGGCUUACCAAGGCUUUGACGGGUAGCCGGCCUGAGCGGGUGACAGGCCACAUUGGGACUGAGAUGCGACCCAGACUCCUACGGGAGGCAGCAGUGGAGAAUAUUACACAAUGGGCGGAAGCCUGAUGCAGCAACGCCGCGUGCGGGAUGACGGCCUUCGGGUUGUAAACCGAUUUCGCCUGUGACGAAGCGUGAGUGACGGUAAUGGGUAAAGAAGCACCGGCUAACUACGUG
RNAcentral lists this ribosomal RNA (468 nucleotides) under uncultured bacterium. RNAcentral's name for it is "partial 16S ribosomal RNA". It matches the Rfam family "Bacterial small subunit ribosomal RNA", at positions 28 to 507 of the family's 1533-position model. The record is from RNAcentral.